UACGGAGGGGGCUAGCGUUAUUCGGAAUUAUUGGGCGUAAAGGGCGCGUAGGCGGCCCGGUAAGUCAAAGGUGAAAUCCCUCGGCUCAACUGAGGAACUGCCUUUGAAACUGUCGGGCUUGAGGCCGGGAGGGGGUAGCGGAAUUCCCAGUGUAGCGGUGAAAUGCGUAGAGAUCCGGAGGAACCCCAGAGGCGAAGGCGGCGUCCUGGCUCGCAUCUGACGCUCAGACACGACAGCAUGGGGAGCGAACGGG
This 253-nucleotide ribosomal RNA is filed under the name uncultured bacterium. RNAcentral describes it as "partial 16S ribosomal RNA". It matches the Rfam family "Bacterial small subunit ribosomal RNA", at positions 524 to 776 of the family's 1533-position model. The record is from RNAcentral.